Molecule: non-coding RNA, 27 nt
Filed under: Mus musculus (house mouse)
Lineage: Eukaryota; Metazoa; Chordata; Mammalia; Rodentia; Muridae
Source: RNAcentral
UGCAGUUUCCAGUGGGCCGUGUGCACC